UACGUAGGUGGCAAGCGUUGUCCGGAUUUACUGGGCGUAAAGGGCGUGCAGGCGGUUUGUUAAGUGCAGGGUGAAAGCUCCCGGCUCAACUGGGAGAGGUCCUUGCAUACUGGCGAACUCGAGGGAGGCAGAGGAAAGUGGAAUUCCCGGUGUAGUGGUGAUAUGCGUAGAUAUCGGGAGGAACACCUGCGGCGAAGGCGGGUAGCUGGGCCGACACUGACGCUGAGGCGCGAAAGCCAGGGGAGCGAACGGG
RNAcentral lists this ribosomal RNA (253 nucleotides) under uncultured bacterium. Its description in RNAcentral is "partial 16S ribosomal RNA". It matches the Rfam family "Bacterial small subunit ribosomal RNA", at positions 524 to 776 of the family's 1533-position model. The record is from RNAcentral.